CCUACGGGGGGCAGCAGUGAGGACUAUUGGUCAAUGGGCGUAAGCCUGAACCAGCCAAGUCGCGUGAGGGAUGAAGGUUCUAUGGAUCGUAAACCUCUUUUAUAAGGGAAUAAAGUGUGGGACGUGUCCUAUUUUGUAUGUACCUUAUGAAUAAGGAUCGGCUAACUCCGUGCCCGCCGCCGCGGUAAUACGGAGGAUCCGAGCGUUAUCCGGAUUUAUUGGGUUUAAAGGGUGCGUAGGCGGACUUUUACAUCAGCGGGGAAAGUAUGUGGCCCAACCAUAGAAUUGCCGUUGAAACUGGGGGGCUUGAGUAUGUUUGAGGCAGGCGGAAUGCGUGGUGUAGCGGUGAAAUGCUUAGAGAUCACGCAGAACCCCGAUUGCGAAGGCAGCCUGCCAAGCCAUGACUGACGCUGAUGCACGAAAGCGUGGGGAUCAAACAGGAUUAGAUACCCUUGUAGUC
This 460-nucleotide ribosomal RNA is filed under the name uncultured bacterium. RNAcentral describes it as "partial 16S ribosomal RNA". It matches the Rfam family "Bacterial small subunit ribosomal RNA", at positions 338 to 795 of the family's 1533-position model. The record is from RNAcentral.